Molecule: ribosomal RNA, 464 nt
Filed under: uncultured bacterium
Lineage: Bacteria
Description: bacterial SSU rRNA
Rfam family: Bacterial small subunit ribosomal RNA
Source: RNAcentral
GAUGAACGCUAGCGGCAGGCUUAACACAUGCAAGUCGAGGGGUAGAGGAAGCUUGCUUCCUUGAGACCGGCGCACGGGUGCGUAACGCGUAUGCAACCUACCUUUUACAGAGGGAUAGCCCAGAGAAAUUUGGAUUAAUACCUCAUAGUAUAUAGUCUUCGCAUGUUGACUAUAUUAAAGUUCCAACGGUAAAAGAUGGGCAUGCGUCCUAUUAGCUAGAUGGUAAGGUAACGGCUUACCAUGGCAACGAUAGGUAGGGGUCCUGAGAGGGAGAUCCCCCACACUGGUACUGAGACACGGUCCAGACUCCUACGGGAGGCAGCAGUGGGGAAUUUUCCGCAAUGGGCGAAAGCCUGACGGAGCAAUACCGCGUGAGGGAAGAAUGCCUAUGGGUUGUAAACCUCUUUUUUCAGGGAGGAAUAAAAUGACGUGUACCUGAAGAAUAAGCAUCGGCUAACUCCGUG